Molecule: ribosomal RNA, 781 nt
Filed under: Metorchis orientalis
Lineage: Eukaryota; Metazoa; Platyhelminthes; Trematoda; Opisthorchiida; Opisthorchiidae
Description: small subunit ribosomal RNA
Source: RNAcentral
CACCUUUGUGAGUAAUUUAGUUUUGGUUAUUGAAGGGUUUUGUAGGGGUGCCACAUAGUAUUGGUUUAUGCUGUUUAUAACUGGUUAUUGAUGUCUGUUUGGACUAGUGGUUGGAUUUUGUUUGUUGAGCGGGAGCUUGAGCGAGUCCCUAUAUGGGGUUUAGGUGGUUAAUUCACAGUGCCAGCAGCUGCGGUUAUUCUGUUAGCCUUUCCUUCGUGUCGGUUUAAAUGGUUUGUGGGUAAUUGCGGAAUUGAAUGGGUAGAAUCUUAGUUUUUUUUCUAUUUUCUCACAGUUUCUUUUGAGGGCUAUUGGAAGAAUAGGAUUAGAGACCCUAGUAUUGAGUCUUAUUUAUUUUGUGACUUCAUAGUACGAACUAAAAAAAUUUGGCAGCCGAUGAUUCUCCCCCGGGGGAGCGUGUGGUGUAAAAGAUGGUCCACUUAUGUCUUUACCACCUUUAAUAUGGGUUAGUGUACGUCCGGUUUAAUACCUUUGGUUAUCGUCUUUAGGUGAAUUUCAGUUAAUUUAGGCCAGGUCUAUGUGCUGCUAAUGGGGUGGUGUCUGUUCGCUACGUUGGUAAAAGGCAUGGAGGUGAAGAUUUUGUGUGUAUUUAGGACUCGGGAGUAGGUGUAGGUUGAGGUGAUGCAUCGAAUGUUUGAUUUAGUCGGGGUACACACCGCCCGUCAACCAGGAUUAUUAGUUUUGGUAAGUCGUAACAUGGUAACGCUGGGGGAACCGGGCGUUAGUUAGUGGGGGGGUUUAUUUUCUUCAUUAUGUAGGUCCG